GUGCUCACUUCAGCAGCACGUGUAUUAAAAUUGGAAAGAUACAGAGAAGAUUAGCAUGGCCUCU
This 64-nucleotide small nuclear RNA is filed under the name Sus scrofa (pig). The record is from RNAcentral. Lineage: Eukaryota; Metazoa; Chordata; Mammalia; Artiodactyla; Suidae.